Molecule: ribosomal RNA, 505 nt
Filed under: uncultured bacterium
Lineage: Bacteria
Description: partial 16S ribosomal RNA
Rfam family: Bacterial small subunit ribosomal RNA
Source: RNAcentral
GACGAACGCUGGCGGCGUGCCUAAUACAUGCAAGUAGAACGCACAGUUUAUACCGUAGCUUGCUACACCAUAAACUGUGAGUUGCGAACGGGUGAGUAACGCGUAGGUAACCUGCCUGGUAGCGGGGGAUAACUAUUGGAAACGAUAGCUAAUACCGCAUAAUAUUGAUUAUUGCAUGAUAAUUGAUUGAAAGAUGCUAUUGCAUCACUACCAGAUGGACCUGCGUUGUAUUAGCUAGUAGGUGAGGUAACGGCUCACCUAGGCGACGAUACAUAGCCGACCUGAGAGGGUGAUCGGCCACACUGGGACUGAGACACGGCCCAGACUCCUACGGGAGGCAGCAGUAGGGAAUCUUCGGCAAUGGACGAAAGUCUGACCGAGCAACGCCGCGGGAGUGAAGAAGGGUUUCGGAUCGUAAAGCUCUGUUGUAAGAGAAGAACGGGUGUGAGAGUGGAAAGUUCACACUGUGACGGUAUCUUACCAGAAAGAGACGGCUAACUACGUG